AAAUAGUCAUUUAGGAUCUAAUAGUGUGUAUGUUUGCAGUUCAAAUAUAGCUCAAUUAUUUCACCGACAUUUCAUUUAACAAACAAAAAACAAUAAUGCUGUAAGUUGUAAUUAAUAAAAUUAUUUUGUUGAUUUGAUAAUAUUUUAAAGAUCAAUAUUUUCUAAAUAAAGUUUUGAAGAUUUGUGAGGUUAAAUCUUAUAACAAAUAUAGCCAAAUUAUCCACAAUAAUUAUAGCAUAGAUAUGAAAAGCACAAAUUUAAACAUUAUCAGAAGAAAGUAAGAAAAUUAUCAUUAUUAAUAUUAUUCUAUAUAAAUAUUAGGAAUAUAUAAAUAUCUCUUAUAU
This 344-nucleotide long non-coding RNA is filed under the name Physcomitrium patens. RNAcentral's name for it is "long non-coding RNA (PPAT_LNC011968)". The record is from RNAcentral. Lineage: Eukaryota; Viridiplantae; Streptophyta; Bryopsida; Funariales; Funariaceae.